This 457-nucleotide ribosomal RNA is filed under the name Phytodietus vulgaris. RNAcentral's name for it is "partial 28S ribosomal RNA". The record is from RNAcentral. Lineage: Eukaryota; Metazoa; Arthropoda; Insecta; Hymenoptera; Ichneumonidae.
CCUGAGAAACCCGAAAGAUCGAAUGGGGAGAUUCAUCGUCAGCGAUCCCGGUACGUGUGCGGCUCGUGAUGUCCCGGGGCUCCGGUCCCGUGGCACGCGUCCGCAUGGCUUUAUUGCCGGGCGUCGCCGGCGUGCACUUCUCCCCUAGUAGGACAUCGCGACCCGUUGGGUGUCGGUCUACGGCCCGGGUGGGCGCCUGUCAUGUGUCACGCUUCACGGCGUCAUGUGGCAGACACCUGGAUGUCUGACCGGCUGCCCGGCGGUACUCGCAUGGUAUCGAGCCGCAAAUAUUCGAACUGCGUCCGGCCCGCCGCAAGCGAGGUCAGUGUUACCCGGAUGUGCGGACCUGGUGCCGUCACCGGGCCUGGCCAGCUGUUGGUCGGUGGUGUUCUGGGACUGGCUCUAAAUUAUAUUAUGAUACCGGUCGGCGAUGCUACUGCUUUGGGUACUUUCAGGA